AGAGGCGGAAGCGGAGUCGGCCUGAGAGGUCUCUCGUCGCUGCAGGCGCCUCAGCCCAGCCGCGUGCCUUGGCCCAUGGCCGCCUACUCUUACCGCCCCGGCCCUGGGGCCGGCCCUGGGCCUGCUGCAGGCGCGGCGCUGCCGGACCAGAGCUUCCUGUGGAACGUUUUCCAGAGGGUCGAUAAAGACAGGAGUGGAGUGAUAUCAGACACCGAGCUUCAGCAAGCUCUCUCCAACGGCACGUGGACUCCCUUUAAUCCAGUGACUGUCAGGUCGAUCAUAUGCCGAGGACGAUGAUCCCGCCGGGGGAGUGCACGUACGCGGGCCGGAAGCGGAGGAGGCCCCUGCAGAAACAGAGGCCCGCCGUGGGGGCAGAGAAGUCCAACCCCUCCAAGCGACACCGGGACCGCCUCAACGCCGAGUUGGACCACCUGGCCAGCCUGCUGCCGUUCCCGCCUGACAUCAUCUCCAAGCUGGACAAGCUUUCUGUCCUGCGCCUCAGUGUCAGUUACCUCCGGGUGAAGAGCUUCUUCCAAGUCGUGCAGGAGCAGAGCUCACGGCAGCCUGCGGCCGGCGCCCCCUCGCCCGGAGACAGCUGUCCUCUUGCAGGGUCUGCCGUGCUGGAGGGAAGGCUGCUGUUGGAGUCUCUUAAUGGCUUUGCUCUGGUCGUGAGUGCAGAAGGGACGAUAUUUUAUGCAUCAGCAACGAUCGUGGACUAUCUGGGCUUCCAUCAGACGGAUGUAAUGCACCAGAACAUUUAUGACUACAUCCACGUGGACGACCGCCAGGACUUCUGCCGGCAGCUCCACUGGGCCAUGGACCCUCCCCAGGUGGUGUUUGGGCAGCCCCCGCCCUUGGAGACAGGAGAUGAUGCUAUCCUGGGGAGGCUGCUCAGGGCCCAGGAGUGGGGCACAGGCACGCCCACCGAGUACUCGGCCUUCCUGACCCGCUGCUUCAUCUGCCGUGUGCGCUGCCUGCUGGACAGCACCUCGGGCUUCCUGACGAUGCAGUUUCAAGGAAAACUAAAAUUCCUGUUUGGACAGAAGAAGAAGGCGCCGUCAGGAGCCAUGCUCCCGCCGCGGCUGUCGCUGUUCUGCAUUGCGGCACCCGUUCUCCUCCCCUCCGCAGCGGAGAUGAAAAUGAGGAGCGCGCUCCUGAGGGCAAAACCCAGAGCAGACACCGCAGCCACCGCGGAUGCAAAAGUAAAAGCCACCACCAGUCUGUGCGAAUCGGAACUGCAUGGAAAACCCAAUUACUCAGCAGGAAGGAGCAGCAGAGAGAGCGGCGUUUUGGUGCUCAGGGAACAGACUGACGCUGGCCGAUGGGCACAGGUUCCCGCCAGGGCCCCAUGCCUGUGCCUCCGGGGUGGCCCUGACCUUGUCCUUGACCCCAAGGGGGGCUCAGGGGACAGGGAGGAGGAGCAGCACAGGAUGCUGAGCAGGGCCUCUGGAGUGACAGGGCGGAGGGAGACUCCAGGACCCACAAAGCCCCUGCCCUGGACAGCGGGAAAGCACAGUGAGGAUGGUGCCAGGCCGAGGCUGCAGCCCAGCAAGAAUGACCCGCCCUCCCUGCGCCCCAUGCCCCGCGGCUCCUGCCUGCCCUGCCCGUGUGUCCAGGGCACUUUCAGGAACUCGCCCAUCUCUCACCCGCCGAGCCCGUCCCCCAGUGCCUACUCCAGCCGGACCAGCAGACCCAUGCGGGAUGUCGGUGAGGACCAGGUGCACCCUCCCCUCUGCCACUUUCCCCAGAGGAGCCUGCAGCACCAGCUCCCUCAGCCUGGAGCUCAGCGUUUUGCCACGAGGGGCUAUCCCAUGGAGGACAUGAAGCUGCAAGGUGUACCGAUGCCUCCGGGGGACCUGUGUGGUCCGACGCUGCUGCUAGAUGUGUCCAUCAAGAUGGAGAAGGACUCUGGGUGUGAGGGUGCUGCAGACGGCUGUGUGCCCAGCCAGGUGUGGCUGGGGGCCAGUGACAGGAGCCACCCAGCCACCUUCCCUACCAGGAUGCACCUGAAAACAGAGCCAGACUCUCGGCAACAGGUGUACAUCUCGCACCUGGGGCACGGCGUGCGGGGGGCUCAGCCCCAUGGGAGGGCCACUGCUGGGCGCAGCAGGGAGCUGACCCCUUUCCACCCUGCACACUGUGCCUGCCUGGAGCCCACAGACGGCCUUCCCCAGUCGGAGCCUCCCCACCAGCUCUGUGCACGGGGCCGAGGUGAACAGUCCUGCACCUGCAGAGCUGCUGAGGCCGCCCCUGUGGUCAAGCGGGAGCCCUUGGACUCACCCCAGUGGGCUACUCACAGCCAGGGAAUGGUGCCCGGGAUGUUGCCCAAAAGUGCCUUGGCCACGCUGGUCCCGCCCCAAGCUUCGGGGUGCACAUUCCUGCCAUAGCGCAGUGACCACCAUCCAAGCUCAGAUCUGUGUGUCUACGCUCAGAUGCGUCGGUGGCUGGGCUGCCCUGCUCCUGGUCAGGCCGGAGCCCGUCCUAAGACACACGCUUUGCAGAGCUGUGCAUGCGCAGUCUGCUAGUGUGUGUGUGCAGCAUACGCAGGAGCCUAUCCUGAAUUUUGUAAAAUAUCCCAACAGUUCUUAAAUGAAAACUGGCCUUAAGUCUAUUCAAGCAUGACAGCAUUUCUCUUUGAGGAAUUAAAAUCUUUAGGAAAGUGAUCAUGGCUGGACAGCUUCAUGCCCCAGAGGCAGCGAGCACCCGUCCCAUGGCUGCCAAGUCCACAGUCGGGGAUGAAGCAGUCGGGUGAUGCUCCCAAGUCCGCAGUCGGGGAUGAAGCGGUCGGGUGAUGCUCCCAAGUCCGCAGUCGGGGAUGAAGCGGUCGGGUGACACACCUAGCUCAGCCCUCCCAGGCCACCUGCAGCUCCCAGCCUGUGCUGUGCAGGCAGGGUCAGCCCAUCGCCACAGUGCACUGUAGAGGCCAGCACACGGCAAAUUAGAAAUACAACACGCGGAGAAAGGGGUCCGUGAGCCCACUCAUAGAGGAAUCUAGAACGUUCCAGGCAGCAGAGGCUGGCAGCGUGGGUCCCACACUGCCCCACACCGUGCGGCAGGUGCUCCAUGGCGCCAUGACAGAGUCUGAGGCCAGACCUGGACUGGAAUUGACAGCAUAACCCCUGUUCCUUCUGGACAUCUCCCGAGUUCUCAGUGGGUCUCUGCGGACGGUUCUUCCUAAUCUGCCUCUUGGUACAUCACGUAAUACAGAGUUCACAGACUCCGGGUUUGGAAGUACAGAGAAACACACAACGUAGAGAGAAGACACAGGAAACUGCGCUGCCUGUGGGGGUUUCUCUCUGGCUGGCUGUACAGUUCACUCAAAUGAGGGUUCCCAUUGCCAUCCUAGGAGAAUAAUUAGGGACAAGACAGACAAGUAUUAAUAGCAUUAAAACAGUUGUAAAGGCGAUAUUUUCUGAGAGUAGGAAAUUUGGAUACAAAAGCAUAAGUCAGAAAGUGAAGGUCACCAAUCCACCAACCCGAGAACCUACAGCUGAUGGUGCAUUUCAGGCUUCUUCCACGGUCUGGCCUGGAACCCCACCCGGCUGGUGCAGGCAUCAGAUCAGGGUGUAGAAGUCACCCCAAGCAAGAGGAAGCCAGGCAGUGAGGCCCUGGGGUGUGGCUGCAGCUGGGCCCACCUGUGCGGGGGUGGGAAGGCCCCAUCCUCAGGGAGAGGGCAUCGGCGCCCUGACGUCAGCUCCACUGGGAGUGGCAGGAGCUGUGGGAGCCCAUGGGUGAGGGACCCACCACCCCGCUGCACUGUGCAUUGUGCCUCCCGUGUGGACGCCCUCUCUGUUGUUGGCCCGCGGGUGAGGGACCCACCACCCCUAGGGACCCACCACCCCGCCGCACUGUGCAUUCUGCCUCCUGUGUGGACGCCCUCUCUGUUGUCAGUGGCUUUGAGGUGUCAGUGCUUACUUAGAUGCUGGUUUAAUGCUGGACCCAUUUGUUAAACGCACCUUCACUUUGUCAAAACCCAGGUUUGGUUGGCAGGACUGGGUCUUCUGCCCAAUGCCAGGUGCCUGCGCCUCUCAGUGGCCUGGUUCUUGGACAGUUUGCCCCCAUGUGGCAGGGAUAGGGAUAAGGAUCUCCUCUCAGUACUGGAAGAGAACAGCCAACCAUCUGAGCCCAGAGUCACAGAUCCAUCGUGGCCCCCUAUGACCCCCAAGCCCUACCGAGGGGGCACUCACUCUCUGCUUAGCCAGGGGGCGUCUUUCAAAAGGUGACCUCCAUGCUGUGCUGUCGUGGGUGUGAGACGUGCUCAUGGCCUUCCACUGCCAUCUCUCCCUUAUCUGAUGCCUAAAGUCACGAUGGGGACAGAGCUACCCAGGGGCCAGCCAUGGGGUGACCAGCCACCUGAGGGUCAGUCACCUGUGGAGAGCAGGCACCUGUGAAGACCAGGCACCUGAGGACUGGCGCCUACUUCCCACUUUGGCCCUACACUGGCACAGAGCCCCUCUUUAUUCAUUUCUCAUGCUGAGCAUGGCACACUUCUGGCCUCUGGGCAUUUAUGGAUUUAAGACCAGGAUGGUAUUUCAGAAGCUUCCCACUUCCUUCCUAUUCUAACCGAGUGCCCAGCUCCUUUGCUGAUCAUGGAAAGACCCUUAAUAAUUAGGCCUGCAGGCCAGGCGCAGUGGCUCAUGCCUAUAAUCCCAGCACUUUAGGAGGUCAAGGUAGGAGGAUCGCUUAAGCCCAGGAGUUCAAGACCAGCCUGGGCAACACAGGAAGAAUGUGUCUCUACAAAAAAUAAUUAAAAAUCAGAUCUGCUGUAUCCCUGAAAAAGUCUCAAUCAACAUGCAUGUUCCACUCUUGGAGUUCCCUGUUCUGAGGGCCAGCCACGUCCUGUGUCCUGGAGCUUAGCCCUCAGCAGCUCCCUUCAGCCUGGGCGCCGCCUGGGUCCCAAACGUGGCAGCUGCUCUUCCAGUCUCGGGGCCGAGGAGGGCAGGGAGCUCAGUGACUGAGAGUCUUGUGUAUCACAUGUCUUGAGUGUCCUGGAGCCAACGGCUGUCACUGGGAAAAACACCAGGCCCCAAAGAUCGAAUCAGAGACGUGGCUGCGUGUUUGCGAUUGUAGCCAGGCCCUUCAGUGUCAUCAAAGGAGCACUGGGGCCUCCUUAAGCACAGACGGCAGCCCCUGCCCAGGAGGCUUCUUCACCACGUCCUGCCCUGCAGCCUCCCAGACCUUUAGAUGCGCCCCUGCCCAAGGCCCUCCUGGUGACAGGUGCCAGAUUGAGUGGUGGGUUGCUGCCAGGCAGGCCACGCUGUGUUGACGCUGCACUCAGCACGUGGGUGUUGGCUCUGCCGGUUUUGUGGUGUGGGGACCCUACAGGAGGCUGCGGCCCUGAGAGCCUGGGAUCAGCGAGGUGUCCGACAUCCCUUCCUCAACGGCAACAAAAACUCCCCAAGUCAGCACUUUGGUUAUUUUAUAGCCACAACCCUCUUGGAAAACAGUGGGGAAGACUAUGGAACAUAGAAAGUGUGGAUGUAUCACUUCUCUCUAAAAUGUCAUUGUUAGCACUAAUUACAGGUUCAUGUUUUUCUGUGUAUGUAGCUUUUCCCUAUAUAGCUGAAAAAGUAUUAAAGUCAAAUAUAAGGUGGGAAUGGGAUGGAAGGGAGGAGAUCAAUACAACUUAUAUUUUUGCAGUUUCUACUGGAAGAAAAAAGUUUUCAAUACCUAGACCAACUUGUUGAAUUUUUAAAACUUAUGCACUAUAAAUGCAACUUUCUCUACUGCUUUCUCAGUGCCUUUAGGAAGCUUUCAAAUUUUUUUGUACUGUGGUUUGUAUUAAAUUUGCAAUAUUGAUGUAAAAUACAUGACAUGCUAGUACAUGUUUAACAAAAA
RNAcentral lists this long non-coding RNA (5838 nucleotides) under Homo sapiens (human). Its description in RNAcentral is "PDCD6-AHRR readthrough (NMD candidate), transcript variant 2 (PDCD6-AHRR)". Lineage: Eukaryota; Metazoa; Chordata; Mammalia; Primates; Hominidae. The record is from RNAcentral.